RNAcentral lists this ribosomal RNA (970 nucleotides) under uncultured bacterium. RNAcentral's name for it is "bacterial SSU rRNA". It matches the Rfam family "Bacterial small subunit ribosomal RNA", at positions 48 to 1029 of the family's 1533-position model. The record is from RNAcentral.
GCUACCAUGCAAGUCGAGGGACGGUAGCAAUACUGGACCGGCAAACGGGUGCGGAACACGUACGCAAUCUACCCCUAAGAGGUGAAUAGCCACGGAAACGUGGAUUAAUACACCGUAAACUAUAAUUUUGGCAUCAAGGAUAUAGAAUAGCUGAGGCGCUUAGGGAUGAGCGUGCGUCUGAUUAGGUAGUUAGUGAGGUAACGGCUCACCAAGCCGACGAUCAGUAACUGGUGUGAGAGCACGACCAGUCACACGGGCACUGAGACACGGGCCCGACUCCUACGGGAGGCAGCAGUGAGGAAUAUUGGUCAAUGGACGGAAGUCUGAACCAGCCAUGCCGCGUGAAGGAAGAAGGCGUUCUGCGUUGUAAACUUCUUUUAUAAGGGAAGAAACCUACGAUUUUUAUUGUAGCCGACGGUACCUUAUGAAUAAGCACCGGCUAACUCCGUGCCAGCAGCCGCGGUAAUACGGAGGGUGCAAGCGUUAUCCGGAUUUACUGGGUUUAAAGGGUGUGUAGGCGGGCUUUUAAGUCAGUGGUGAAAUCUCCGAGCUCAACUCGGAAACUGCCAUUGAUACUAUUAGUCUUGAAUAUUGUUGAGGUAGGCGGAAUAUGUCAUGUAGCGGUGAAAUGCUUAGAUAUGACAUAGAACACCGAUUGCGAAGGCAGCUUACUAAACAAUGAUUGACGCUGAGGCACGAAAGCGUGGGGAUCAAACAGGAUUAGAUACCCUGGUAGUCCACGCCCUAAACGAUGAUUACUGGACAUUUGCGAUAUACAGUGAGUGUCUGAGCGAAAGCAUUAAGUAAUCCACCUGGGAAGUACGUCCGCAAGGAUGAAACUCAAAGGAAUUGACGGGGUCCGCACAAGCGGUGGAAGUAUGUGGUUUAAUUCGAUGAUACGCGAGGAACCUUACCUGGGCUAGAAUGUGAGUGACGGAUUCUGAAAAGGAGUCUUUCUAGCAAUAGACAC